UACGGGGGGGGCAAGCGUUGUUCGGAAUUACUGGGCGUAAAGGGCUCGUAGGCGGCCAACUAAGUCAGAUGUGAAAUCCCCAGGCUCAACCUGGGAACUGCAUCUGAUACUGGAUGGCUUGAAUUCGGGAGAGGGAUGCAGAAUUCCAGGUGUAGCGGUGAAAUGCGUAGAUAUCUGGAGGAACACCGGUGGCGAAGGCGGCAUCCUGGACCGGCAUCGACGCUGAGGCGCGAAAGCCAGGGGAGCAAACGGG
RNAcentral lists this ribosomal RNA (253 nucleotides) under uncultured bacterium. Its description in RNAcentral is "partial 16S ribosomal RNA". It matches the Rfam family "Bacterial small subunit ribosomal RNA", at positions 524 to 776 of the family's 1533-position model. The record is from RNAcentral.